This 873-nucleotide ribosomal RNA is filed under the name Bacillus tequilensis. Its description in RNAcentral is "bacterial SSU rRNA". It matches the Rfam family "Bacterial small subunit ribosomal RNA", at positions 59 to 913 of the family's 1533-position model. The record is from RNAcentral. Lineage: Bacteria; Bacillati; Bacillota; Bacilli; Caryophanales; Bacillaceae.
CAGUCGAGCGGACAGAUGGGAGCUUGCUCCCUGAUGUUAGCGGCGGACGGGUGAGUAACACGUGGGUAACCUGCCUGUAAGACUGGGAUAACUCCGGGAAACCGGGGCUAAUACCGGAUGGUUGUUUGAACCGCAUGGUUCAAACAUAAAAGGUGGCUUCGGCUACCACUUACAGAUGGACCCGCGGCGCAUUAGCUAGUUGGUGAGGUAACGGCUCACCAAGGCAACGAUGCGUAGCCGACCUGAGAGGGUGAUCGGCCACACUGGGACUGAGACACGGCCCAGACUCCUACGGGAGGCAGCAGUAGGGAAUCUUCCGCAAUGGACGAAAGUCUGACGGAGCAACGCCGCGUGAGUGAUGAAGGUUUUCGGAUCGUAAAGCUCUGUUGUUAGGGAAGAACAAGUACCGUUCGAAUAGGGCGGUACCUUGACGGUACCUAACCAGAAAGCCACGGCUAACUACGUGCCAGCAGCCGCGGUAAUACGUAGGUGGCAAGCGUUGUCCGGAAUUAUUGGGCGUAAAGGGCUCGCAGGCGGUUUCUUAAGUCUGAUGUGAAAGCCCCCGGCUCAACCGGGGAGGGUCAUUGGAAACUGGGGAACUUGAGUGCAGAAGAGGAGAGUGGAAUUCCACGUGUAGCGGUGAAAUGCGUAGAGAUGUGGAGGAACACCAGUGGCGAAGGCGACUCUCUGGUCUGUAACUGACGCUGAGGAGCGAAAGCGUGGGGAGCGAACAGGAUUAGAUACCCUGGUAGUCCACGCCGUAAACGAUGAGUGCUAAGUGUUAGGGGGUUUCCGCCCCUUAGUGCUGCAGCUAACGCAUUAAGCACUCCGCCUGGGGAGUACGGUCGCAAGACUGAAACUCAAAGGAAUUGA